GUAGGUGGCAAGCGUUGUCCGGAAUUAUUGGGCGUAAAGCGCGCGCAGGCGGUCCUUUAAGUCUGAUGUGAAAGCCCACGGCUCAACCGUGGAGGGUCAUUGGAAACUGGGGGACUUGAGUACAGAAGAGGAAAGCGGAAUUCCAAGUGUAGCGGUGAAAUGCGUAGAGAUUUGGAGGAACACCAGUGGCGAAGGCGGCUUUCUGGUCUGUAACUGACGCUGAGGCGCGAAAGCGUGGGGAGCAAACAGGAUUAGAUACCCUGGUAGUCCACGCCGUAAACGAUGAGUGCUAAGUGUUAGGGGGUUUCCCGCCCCCCUUAGUGCUGCAGCUAACGCAUUAAGCACUCCGCCUGGGGAGUACGGCCGCAAGGCUGG
Molecule: ribosomal RNA, 375 nt
Filed under: uncultured organism
Description: partial 16S ribosomal RNA
Rfam family: Bacterial small subunit ribosomal RNA
Source: RNAcentral